RNAcentral lists this unclassified non-coding RNA (337 nucleotides) under soil metagenome. RNAcentral describes it as "partial contains 5.8S ribosomal RNA, internal transcribed spacer 2, and large subunit ribosomal RNA". The stretch from base 1 to 120 matches the Rfam family "5.8S ribosomal RNA", at positions 35 to 154 of the family's 154-position model. The record is from RNAcentral.
GAUGAAGAACGCAGUGAAAUGCGAUAAGUAGUGUGAAUUGCAGAAUUCAGUGAAUCAUCGAAUCUUUGAACGCACAUUGCGCCCCUUGGUAUUCCAUGGGGCAUGCCUGUUCGAGCGUCAUUUGUACCCUCCAGCCCUGCUGGGUAUUGGGCGUUUUGUUCCGCUACGCGCGUGAACUCGCCUCAAAUGCAUUGGCAGCCCGCCGUCCCGUGUGGGAGCGCAGCACAUUUUGCGCUCUCCGCUGCUGACGGUGGAAUCCACAAGUCUACCAUUUUACGCUUGACCUCGGAUCAGGUAGGGAUACCCGCUGAACUUAAGCAUAUCAAUAAGCGGAGGA